Molecule: unclassified non-coding RNA, 89 nt
Filed under: Pseudomonas gessardii
Lineage: Bacteria; Pseudomonadati; Pseudomonadota; Gammaproteobacteria; Pseudomonadales; Pseudomonadaceae
Source: RNAcentral
UGUGGGAGCGGGCUUGCCCGCGAUUGCGGUGUGUCAGAUUAGAAGUAUUUAACUGAUCCACCGCCAUCGCGGGCAAGCCCGCUCCCACA